Molecule: ribosomal RNA, 253 nt
Filed under: uncultured bacterium
Lineage: Bacteria
Description: partial 16S ribosomal RNA
Rfam family: Bacterial small subunit ribosomal RNA
Source: RNAcentral
UACGGAGGGAGCUAGCGUUGUUCGGAAUUACUGGGCGUAAAGCGCACGUAGGCGGCUAUUCAAGUCAGGGGUGAAAGCCCGGGGCUCAACCCCGGAACUGCCCUUGAAACUAGAUGGCUAGAAUCUUGGAGAGGUCAGUGGAAUUCCGAGUGUAGAGGUGAAAUUCGUAGAUAUUCGGAAGAACACCAGUGGCGAAGGCGACUGACUGGACAAGUAUUGACGCUGAGGUGCGAAAGCGUGGGGAGCAAACAGG